Long non-coding RNA from Micropterus salmoides (largemouth bass), 520 nucleotides. RefSeq lists it as uncharacterized. The transcript has 4 exons. The record is from RefSeq and is a predicted model, not a curated record. NCBI's taxonomy places the organism in Eukaryota, Metazoa, Chordata, Actinopteri, Centrarchiformes, Centrarchidae.
AUUCUGCACAGUGGGUGGCCGGUAAUGCAACACUAAAGAUAAUUUGACUGACAUUUGCGCCAACAGACGCACAAAGACUGAGCCUUGUUCUGUGGAUAAACUUCACCUAUGGUCGUAGCAGGUCUGGGGAGCACAGCGAGAUACAAGUACUUUCAAUGGCAAAGACUUGAAGUGCUGUCGAGCCCCAGCUGCUGCAGGAUCGCCCUGACCUGCAGCAGCGCCAGACGAUCGCUGUGGAGAAGGAAGGGUGGGGGCGAGAGAGCGUGUCAGAGGUCAGCCAACAGCAGGAGAGUCACCGGAUACCUCACAGCUGUUCCCAGAGGCUAAGUGGAAUCUGGUGUGUCGCAGUCGCGUUGUCAGCUGCUAAUCAUCUCCAGUCUACUCUGCUUUAUAUACUGGACUUCAUAGUUAGUCUUGUGCCAGCCUUGUUUAUUCUGCUUUGUGUGUUUUUGAAGUUUGGCUAAUAUCUGGAUGCUGUGCCCCGUCUGGACCUGAUUCCUGCUUCUGUCCCGCUCCUGUU